This 361-nucleotide transfer RNA is filed under the name uncultured Microcystis sp. RNAcentral describes it as "partial 16S-23S ribosomal RNA intergenic spacer". The stretch from base 136 to 209 matches the Rfam family "tRNA". The record is from RNAcentral. Lineage: Bacteria; Bacillati; Cyanobacteriota; Cyanophyceae; Chroococcales; Microcystaceae.
AAAGGGAGACCUAAUUCAGGUAUGGGACGAAAAAAAAGUAGUCGCUACCAAGAAUCAAUCCCAAAAGGUCGGAGCGAGGCGAAAUUGGCUUUCAAACUAGGUUCUGGGUUCAAACAAGACCUGAAUCAGGAACAAGGGCUAUUAGCUCAGGUGGUUAGAGCGCACCCCUGAUAAGGGUGAGGUCCCUGGUUCGAGUCCAGGAUGGCCCACCUGCACAGGUGGCAAAAACAAAGAAGGGAGGAAUCAGCACCUUAUCUUAUAUACAUAUAUAAGAGAGAAUGCUGGCUCUGAGUACAGAGUCCAGAGGAACCUUGAAAACUGCAUAGAGCUAGGUGAAAAAGCCAAAAAAGAAGACCGCAAG